This 820-nucleotide ribosomal RNA is filed under the name Neoechinorhynchus buttnerae. RNAcentral's name for it is "SSU rRNA". It matches the Rfam family "Eukaryotic small subunit ribosomal RNA", at positions 47 to 865 of the family's 1831-position model. Lineage: Eukaryota; Metazoa; Acanthocephala; Eoacanthocephala; Neoechinorhynchida; Neoechinorhynchidae. The record is from RNAcentral.
AGCCAUGCAUGUGCAGGUACAUACUUUAUACGGUUGAAACCGCGAAUGGCUCAUUACAUAAGUCUUGGUUUAUUAGAUCAUACGAAUCAUAUGGAUAACUGUGGAAAAUCUAGAGCUAAUACAUGCCACGAUGCUUCGACUAGCGAAGAGGAGCUUUUAUUAGGUCAAAGCCAAUGAUCCCCUAACGGGGUUCAAACGUUGUGCUGAUUCUGAGUAAAGUAAGCUGAUUGCAUUGCCUGAAAAGGGCAGGCGACGUGUCUUUCAAGCGUCUUCCCUAUCAACUAUCGUUGGUAGUUGACAUGACUACCAUGGUCGUAACGGGUAACGGGGAAUCAGGGUUCGAUUCCGGAGAGAGAGCAUGAGAAACGGCUGUCACAUCCAAGGAAGGCAGCAGGCGCGCAAAUUACCCAAUCCUAGAUCGGGGAGGUAGUGACGAAAAAUAACGAUGCCGUAAUCUUCGGAUUCGGCAAUUGGAAUGAGAACAAUCAAAAUCCUUUAUCGAGGAUCAAUUGGAGGGCAAGUUCUGGUGCCAGCAGCCGCGGUAAUUCCAGCUCGAAUAGCGUAUGUUAAAUUUGCUGCGGUUAAAAAGCUCGUAGUUGGGUUUCAGGAGAUGAACUUUGCGCUGCCAAAUUUGUGCAGCAUUGCAAUUGCUUCGCUCCUUAUGUUUUACCAUUCCUACGGUAGCAUUACCGUGUGGGGGUAAGCGGACUACUUUGAGAAAAUUAGCGUGCUCAACGCAGGCAAUUUGCUUGUAUACUGUUGCAUGGAAUAAUGAGAAAGGACCUCGGUUCUGUUUCGUUGGUUUCCGGAAGCUGAGGUA